This 25008-nucleotide long non-coding RNA is filed under the name Theobroma cacao (cacao). Its description in RNAcentral is "long non-coding RNA (TCAC_LNC004173)". The record is from RNAcentral. Lineage: Eukaryota; Viridiplantae; Streptophyta; Magnoliopsida; Malvales; Malvaceae.
AGCAAUCCAUGUAAGAAAACUGCCUGCCAGCGUGUUAAAAAUCUUGAUAAAUUUGCUGAUAUCGUUAACAUAUUUUAGUUGGCAAGGCAAUGCAGGAGUUGAUUGAGUUAGGGGCAGUCACAUUUUUGGUCCCUGGAAACCUACCAAUUGGAUGCCUCCCAUCAUAUCUGACAAACUAUCAGGGUUCAGAUGAGGAAGAAUAUGAUCCCUUAACCGGUUGUCUAACAUGGCUGAACCAGUUCUCUGAGUACCACAAUCAAUUGCUUCAGGAAGAACUUGCUAGAAUCCAAGAGAUUCAUCCCCAUGUCAACAUUUUUUAUGCAGAUUAUUACAGUGCUGCAAUUCGUUUCUACCUUUCUCCAAAGCAAUUUGGUACUUUCACUUUCCAAAAAACACAAAUUGAGCUUAUAUAGACUACUGAAAACUCAAAUUCUUAACUUAAUAAUCAUUUCCAGGGUUUAGAAAAGAAACUCAGAGAAAAGCAUGCUGCGGAGGGGGAGGUCCGUACAAUUUCAACUUGUCGGCAGUUUGUGGUUAUCCGCUGGUAACAUCCUGCUGUGAUGACCCUUCUUCGUAUGUAAGCUGGGAUGGUAUACAUUAUACAGAAGCAGCCAACAGAUUGCUUUCGAGGGCCAUAUUAGAUGGACUACACACUAAUUUUCCCAUUUCAAAUAGCUUGUUUCAGUCAUUUACUGUACACAACAAACAUAGCAAUAGUUGAGGGCAGAAAUUGAGAAUCUUAAUUUUAGAAGGUAGGUCAUGGUGUGUUGGAGUUAGGCUCAGUUUGCAAUACUCCUUAAUAUGAAAAGUUUGUUUUCAAUUUAGAAAAGUAGUGCUGUGUGCUAAUUACAUGUCUUUUACUUGGUGAUUAUUUAGUUUCUUUUAUUUGGUGGUUAUUUGGUUUUUCAUGUUAAUCAUAUUUUGACAGUUAAAGUAAAUGUAAGGAACAACUCAUAAACUUAGUGAUGUGACAAUCUUAAGUAGUAUUAUCUAUUUUAUUUAUUUAUUUAUUUUUUAACAUUAUCUUUUGUAAGGCUAUAAAAACUGUUAUCUUUAUUAAUGAAAUUGUGUGAUUAUCUUCCUUUUUUGUUUUAGCACUCAAUAAUCUCUUAAAUGUCCCAAAAUUCUAACAUGGUGACAUGAAAUGAGAGGUCAAGAGGAAUUCCAUCCCUUGAACGGUUCUAGGAGAAGUAAGAACAAGAAACAGGCCGCAGGCCAAGUUUCUUGCCCUUACUUGUUCUUUUAUUGUGGUGGUGUCUCUGGUUUACUGAUUUGAGUUUGCUGUUUCCCUUGUUGAGAUUUCUUUUGCUGCUCUGAGUCUAAUAAUAGGGUGGUGGAUUCAUGUACUCUGUAUAGUUUAACAGGCUGUGGUCAUGGUUGUUUUUUUUUUCAAGCCAUUCUAAGACAGUAAUUGACUGGAGGAUGACCAGUCGAUAUUUGUCUGCUUUUGUAAAUAAUAGUUUCAUAUAAUGAAAUGAUCCACUUUAAUUUUUUUUUAAAAAAUAGAAGCUAAAAAUAUUUUUAUUAUAUUUAUAUAUUUAGAAUAUUUUUAAUUUAAUAGAUAUGAGACUAUAGUCAAUUUAAUAAGUUGAAAAUUUAAUUUAUAAACAUGAUUCGUUAUAUUCACAGUUAAUGAAUUGCAAUCGGUCAAAGAAUUUGAAGGUCUUCCUCUUUAACAAAAAGAACAAUUCACCCCUAUAUUACAUAGUUUACUUUAUCAAGAUUACAGUCACAGACUAACAAUAUCAAGAAUACAUGUGGGGCUUAUACAAUGUACCAACUUGGAUUAGUGGGUGGAGCCAUGAAUUUUACAAAAUGAAGGUGAUAACGAUCAAAGGAAAGGUUGCUUUCUAAGGAUCGAAUUUCCAUGGCCCCAGAAAAUGUUUUCCAGGCUGGUGAAUUGGCUGUGGAUCAGUCUUGUCAGGACUUGUGGAAUCAAUUCGGGAAUGAAUAGAAAUGUCCUAAUGCUUCUUUAAUGUUAAAGGGCCAAUCUUAUCCAAGAUUAAGUGCCGUAUACUGCUUAAGGAUUCACUAUUCUGAUUCUUAUGAAAGUUAAGCUACAAUUUGCAGCUGAUGCUGUCACUAAUUCAUCUAACUCAGUAAUACUAUCAAAACUUUAAGGUAAAAUAUAUUUCUUUUUAAGUUUUUAUCGAAAUGACACGACAAUAUAUUAAUUUUCAAAAUAAAUACUUCGUUCAAAAAAUAUAUUUUUCGUUGGCCACAUAGGUCCAAUUAUUAUUAUUUUUGUUAACUUGGUGACGUGGUAGAGUAAAAAGAUAGUUUUACCUUUAAUUACUUUUUAAAAUUAAUGUUAUAUAAUUUUAUUAUUUUUUACUAAUUAAAAAGAAAAAAAAACUUUUCAUUUAGGGAGCACCAGAGCUCCCAUUGGGGCUCCUUAAGGGAGCACUAGUGCUUUACUAGAUAACCCAAUUUGGGGCUCCCCUUUUUUGGUGAGCUAGAGAGCACCGUUUUUAUUUAUUUUUUUAAAUAUAAUAAUAAUUUUUUAAAUUAAUAAAAAAAGAAAGGGCAUUUUAGUCUUUUCAUAACUUCUGUUAAUGNCUUCUUUCUUGUUUUUUUUUUUUUUUUUUUUAAAUAUAAUAAUAAUUUUUUAAAUUAAUAAAAAAAAACAUUUUAAUUUUUUUUAAUCUCUGUUAACAGUAUUUGCAUUUUUAAGAUGAGUGUUCAUUUCAAAAAUUAAUAAACUCAUUUAAAAUUUCGUCGACUAAAACUUAAAGGAGUUAUCCUCCUUUAAGAGCAGCUUGAGUAAGAAGCCUGAAACCAUGCUCCCAAACCAAUCCCACUUCCACUAACAACAAACCAACCACCCACCACUCUACGUGGCCCCACCAUACCACCACCAAUUCACACCGGCCCCAUCAACCUUUUUCCAUCAUGCACCGAACUCAUCCUUCUUGAACACCCAACACCUCCAAUCGGCCCCACCCUAAGGUAACAUCUUCCAGCAAAACUAUGUCAUUCCAACGCCGCAACAAACAAUGCAGCUAAGCAACCAAGCCUUCAAAUAUCCACUUGCACACUCAUAUCCACAAGCCAUAAACCCCCCACUAAAAACUGCCCACCGCGAUUGGCGAUCAUCUCUCCACUCAGUCUACAUCUCUAACUUGAGUUGAAGAGUCACCAGGAAAAGACUCAUAGAGGUUUUUGAUGCUUAUGGCAAAGUGAGGGACGUCUACAUCUCCAACAGACAAAGCCAAGACAAAGUCACCACCUUCGCUUUUGUUAGGUACAAAGCGCUACGGGAGAUGGAUAGAGCUUGUACCCAUGGAAAUGGAAGGAGACUCAAUGGGCAUUAUAUUGUUGUCAAAAAAGCUGAGUAUGGAUGGGACCAAAGAAGGGUAAGAACGCAACCAAGCCAUACUAGACGACCUAGCCAAGCCAGCGAAAGCAGACAGCUAGCACAAUCACCAUCAAAAUACAGCACAAGGCCAAGUUCACCAAGAGAUGAUAGAACUUAUCUCCAGGUCCUACAAAGCAGCCUGCAAUUGCAACCACCACAACCACCACAGCAACAAGCCAAUUUUAACAUUGAGGUAUGUCAAGAAGAAUUCGAAUGGCUCAACUACAGUGCUGUAGGCACACUAUCAAGCUACGUCCACCACCAGAUCCUCCAAGAGAUUUUUGCAGAGAAGGAUAUCAAUGUGUGAUCAAGUCGAUAGGGGGGCAAAAAUGUUCUUCUCACUUUCUGUCUCAAGGAAGACCUGAAGGUUUGCACCGAAGAACACAGAGCAUGGCUUAACCUCUAGUUUGAAUCCAUUGUCCCCUGGAAAAAUGCAACCCCUCAUGUUGAGAGGCUAAUAUGGAUAAAAGUUGAUGGUGUCUCGAUCAACCUGUGGACUGAAGCACUCUUUAGUGAAAUUGGGGAACAAUGUGGCUCUUUCAUCAUGACAGAUGAGGACACCUACCACCGUAGACGAUACAACAUUGCUUGAAUGCUCAUAUCUGUCAAAAAGAACACUACUGUUCCCACCUCAGUUACUUUCAAAGCAAAUUGAGGAGUUUACAAGGUCCAUGUAAAAGAAGAAGAUGUGCAAGACAUUCCUAAACCCCAUAGCUUUGGCGGAGCUCUGACGACAUCUCACCCUUUGAUUCAAACCAAGCAGUACAGUGACAGUGGGCAACGAUCUAUUGGAUGGGACAUGCCAGAACAGCAAGGCUUGAGUAGAGCAGCCUGCAAAACUCAGAGUGAACACUGUUCAAGGACUGAUAGCCUCAGGGAAACUGUCCAUCUUGAGCCCAUCAAAACACGCAGUAGCACCACAAUGGCUCCCUCAAUCAACCUACAAAACAAAAGUCCCACCCAUGCUUCUAGUUUGCAGUUUCCACCCCAUCACCAACUAAGCUCACAAAAUAGCCCCACACAAGUAAACCUACCAUCACACAACUCAGGCCAAAAGAUAUCCAGGUUUGUAUCAUGGCCAACGCUCAAGCCCACCAACCCAACCAACUCAACCAGAAAAGCAAAGCAAUCCAAAAAGACAACAACCUUGAAAACCCAACGAGGCAGCUCAGUAAAAGAUAAAGCAGUAGUGUCACCCAACCCGUAUGCCCAAGAUCUCCACUCCUCAGAUGAUGACUUUACGCCAUUUUCAAAGCUGUGGGUAAAAAUAAGAGCAAGAAAAAAGGAAAAAGAGUCAUUUUUCAACUUAAGAAGUUAAGAAAACUCAAAAAGUGCCUUAGUUCAGAAAAAAAACAAAGUAAAAAAAAAUAAGAUUCGGGCAAAGAAUCCAAAGGGAGGAAACAACAGAAAAAGAGGAAAGCCCACACGAAGACAAACAACCUUAUAGAACCCAAAAAUUGUGCAACAAGUGAAAUAGAGAGAAACUCCACUGUAUUGGAAGAAGCAAGAAAGACGCUCAACAUAUGUUCAUUACUAGGGCUUGUCCUUGAAAAUGAUGAUGACACAACUAUCCAAUACUUCUCGGAGUCUUUGGUCAACUCCACCAAGAAGGCUAAAAGAUUUCGCCAAGUGUGAUAAGCGUCUCCCCACUCUUCCACCAUGAUUAAUGUUAUCUCAUGGAAUAUCAGGGGCUUAGGAUCGAGGAUUAAGCGAAGAGCAGUGAAAAGGCUUGUUAACUCCCAAAAAGCAAAAAUACUUUUUUUACAAGAGACAAAAAAGAACACUAUGGACCCUCUCUUUGUCAAAUCCUUAUGAAAAAAAAAGAGAUUUUCUUAUGAGAUGGUAGCCUCCAUAGGUGCUAUAAGUGGACUCAUUACCAUUUGGUCAGAAGAUUUUUUUGAGACCUCUUCUAUUGUAGUCCAACAAAGAUAUAUCCUUACCUCCGGAAUCAUUAAGCUUGUCAACUUUCGAUGUUCGUUUCUGAAUAUCUAUGCACUUAAUUGCUCAGUGGAAAGAGCUAGUCUAUGGGUUGAAAUUUUAGAGCUCAAAACUCAAAUAACGGGGCAUCUGUGUGUUUGUGGUGACUUUAAUAUCAUCAAGACUGCUGAUGAGAAAACAUGAGACAACUUGGAUCUCACUGGUAUGGCUCAAUUCUCUGAUUUUAUCAAUGAUAUGAAUCUUAUUGAUAUUCCUCUUUUUGGAUGGUUGUUUACGUGGACAGAUAAUAAGGAGGCCCCAACCAAAUGCCGCCUCGAUCGUUUUCUUAUCAGCAGCGAGAUUAUCCUCAGCUUCCUUGCAAUUUUACAGAAGGUACUCCCAAAAUCCCUCUCUAACCAUAAUCCCAUCACACUCAUUGUUGACUAAAAGAAUUGGGGUCUAAAAACCUUUCGACUAUUUUCCCACUGGUUCGAAAAUAAGGAGUUUGUCGCUUUCUUGAAAAGCACAUGGGAUUUGAUCAAUCAAGAAAAUAGUGGCUUUAGUGGUCUUUUUGAAAAAAUGAAAAGGCUUAAACUCUCAGUGAAAGCUUGGCAACAACAACAUCAUGUUGAAGAUGGGAAAAUGAUCACCAUCCUCGAGAAUGACAUUGAUACCCUGAAAAAAGAAGCAGAAAAGAGGGAACUCUCUGUACCUGAAAAAGCCAACCACACUAACCUUAAAUCAAAACUUUGGCACCUGUACAAACGAGAGGAGCAAUCAUGGUUACAAAAAUCACAACUGUAAUGGACUAAAUUAGGUGAUCGUAACACCAAGUUUUUCCACAUUACAGCCUCAAACAGAAGGAGAAAGAACUUAAUCCAUCAGAUACAGAGGAAUGGGACCUUUAUCCAUGACCCCAUCGGCAUAAAAAUAAGGUACUUUUUCACUUCAAAGCUUUUUUUCUCAGACAAGAUACCUUGAAAAUUAAAGAAUUUAAUUGCCAAUUUAGACAACUCAGUACUGACCAGAAUAACAACCUUGAAGCACCUUUCACUGAGGAAGAAGUUUGUUUAGCCAUUCAACAGUGUGAUGGGAACAAAGCUCUUGGCCUAGACGGCUUCAACGUAGAGAUCUUUAAGAAACAGUGGCCACUUUUCAAAAAAGAAGUUCUUGCUUUUAUGGAAAAUCUCUACAGCACCGGGAAAUUCAACAAAAAUAUAAAUUCCUCUUUUAUUACCUUGGUUCCAAAAAUAAGUAGUCCUACUUUGAUCUCUCACUUUAGGCCCAUAAGCCUUGUAGGUUGCAUAUACAAAAUUUUAGUAAAAGUUCUUGCUAACAGGCUCAAAGCGGUGAUCGGAUCUGUCAUUGGUGAAAACCAAUUUGCUUUUUUCAAAGGGAAGCAGAUUCUUGACUAUUACUUAAUAGCUAGUGAGCUUAUUGACUUAAUGAAAAAAACCAAAAGAAGCGGUCUUAUGUUCAAAGCUGAUUUUGAAAAGGCUUUUGAUAAUGUUGAAUGGGACUACUUGGAUUUAAUCAUGCAGCUCAUGAAUUUUGGUCUAAGAUGGCGAGGUUGGAUCAGGCAAUGUGUUACUACUGCCAGCAUUUCAAUCCUUAUGAAUGGCACCCCUACUGCUCAAUUUUCUACUCAGAGAGGACUCAGGCAAUGAUGUCCUCUUUCCCCUUUUCUCUUCAAUAUUGUUGUUGAAUCUCUUAGCAUCCUUCUUAACAAGGCUAAUAAUCUGGGAGUCUUUGAAGGAGUCAAAAUUGAGAGCUCUGACAUUGCUAUUUCUCAUCUGUAAUUUGUAGAUGACACCUUACUUUUUUGUGGACCUCACUUUGAUCAUAUUAUAAAUAUUGCAAGAAUUUUACGAAUUUUUCAAUCAGUUUCAGGGCUCAAAAUCAAUUUCUCUAAGAGUUGUCUAAUAGGCAUUGGUAUCGAUGAUUCUCUGUUGAGUUCUUGGGCUUCAAUGAUCAACUACAAGGUGGGAGCCCUCCCCACGAAUUAUCUUGAGUUACCGUUAUGAGCUAAUCUUCACUUUAUGGGCACUUGGUAGCCCAUCAUUGACAAAUUUAAUUCAAGAUUAACUGGUUGGAAAGGACAAUUUCUCUCUAUGGGAGGUAGGCUUACACUUAUCAACUCAGUACUCUCAAGCCUCCCCCUCUUUUACCUCUCCAUUUUUCGUCUUCCAGCCAUGGUUAAACAAAAACUUGAAGCUAUUCAAAGAAAUUUUCUCUGGUCUGGUUCUUCCGAGAAAAAGAAAAUUCAUUAUGUCAACUGGUCUACUGUUAGUAACCCAAAAACUCAAGGAAGAUUGGGAAUCAUAGAUUUAGAGCUAAAAAAUAGAGCUCUUCUCAACAAAUGGCUUUUGAGGUAUGCAAAUGAGCCUGAUAGGAUAUGGAGGCAAGUUGUGUCUGCCAAAAACAAGUUGAAACCGGAUUGUAUGAUUCUUAUUGACAAACCUCACAAGCCUUCCUCCCUUGGAAUCGCAUCAUGAAGCCAAUAGACUUAACAAACAAAUAUCAUGAACUUGUAACCAAAGGGUUUGCUCACUCUCUCGGUGAAAGCACCACCAUCCGCUUUUGGGAAGACUUGUGGGCUGAUGACUACACUCUGGCCACCAAAUUUCCACGCAUUCAUGCAUGGGCAAUAAGCAAGAAAGCCACGAUUGCUAAAAUGGGAAGCUGGGUCGAAGGAAAUUGGAGGUGGGAUGUUAAGUUAAGAAGGCAGCCUCUUAGCUAAGAGCAAAAUCAGUGGAGAGAUUUCACUACCUUCAUUAAGAAUUUUCAACCUCACCCCACUGACAAAGAUAUAGUGGUGUGGAAGAAAACUACUAGUGGUCUCUACACUCCUUCCUCUUUUAUUAAAGCAAGCCAUGGUACCCCCCUAGCUCUACAAGUUUUUAGAAAAAUGUUUGGAUUGGCUACGCUCCCCCGAAAGUCGAAACUUUCUGUUGGCAAACCCUCCAUGGCAAAAUAGCUGCUAAAUCUGUUUUGAUGCAUCAGGGAGUUCUUGCAGUUGAUGACGCUAAUUGCUCAUUCCGCACCUCUCAGCUCGAGACUCCCUUUCAUGUUCUCUUUGAUUGCACCAUUGCUUGGAAAACAUGGUCUUCUUGUUGUUGCUUAUGGGGUAUCACUUGGGUUCAACCUGGUGAUGUUUUGUCUUUUUUUAGGGCAUGGUUUGAACUUCCCAUGCCUACGGGCAAGAGAGAUACAUGGAGAAUGCUCUUUUUUGCAACACUUUGGACACUUUGGCUUUGUAGAAAUCAGGUUAUUUUCAGAGGGAAAAGGUUCAAUCCAAACAAAAUGAGAGACAUCGCCUUUUUAUGCCACAUGCUUUGGUGUCAAGGGAAAUGGGACCUUGGCCAUGUUCCUACUGACUUGUGUCUCAUGGAGCCUUUUUGGUCCAACAUCAACACUAAAAGGAAGAACCAAAGAAUGGCUGCCAACUGGUCAACUCCACCACCUGAAACUCUUAAACUCAACACAGAUGGCGCAGCAAAAGGCAAACCCGGACCUGCUGGUAUUGGAGGAGUGAUUAGGGACCACCAUGGCUUCAUUCUGGGAACAUUCUCUGAAAACAUUGGUAUUGAGAACUCAAAUUUUGCUGAAUUUUAUGCCAUACGAGAAGGAACCAGCUUCUUCUUUUCAUCUCCCCGGGCUGCCACUCAUUCUCUAGUUGUGGAAAGCGACUCUGCCAAUGCUAUCAAUUGGGCGCCACACCACUGCAAAGUCCCUUGACGGAUUAUAAAAAUUUUUCGAAUGCCAUUGAAACUUUCUUGUGUAAAAGCACAAGAAUCACUUUCAAGCAUGUAAUGAGGGAAGCCAACAAUGUUGCAGACGGAUUGGCCAAAGCAGGGGUAUUAAGAGACUCAAACUUCAAAGCCUACUUUCAAAACCAACAGGGGGAGAGUACAUGAACUCUUCCUUCAUUGCAAAAAGCUUUAUUAUUUUGGUUAACCUUCAACUAUCCCAAUGUCUUUUCUUUUGAAUAUGAUUUCUCACUUCAUCCUCUGUUUGUCAUGCUUUGUACCUCAAUGCUGGAAGUAGCAGACCUCUUUUUUUGUAAUCUGCUAUUCUUUUGCAUGGCAUUCUUGAAGUGCCUUUUGUAAUCUCUUCUUACGAGAUCGCUUGUGAAUAACAAAUACUGCCUUUCAAAAAAAAAAGAACUUAAAGGAGUUGAGGUAUUUUACCGAAACUUUAAUGAAUUAUGGGUACAUUUUGGGGUCUUAUUGAAAAGUUAGAGAUGUACAAGUUGCUUGCUAGAGUACCAAAAGAGAAAAGAAAAAUAAAAUAUAUAUCAUACUAGCUUAUGCUAACUACAUAAAUUUGUUCCAGAAGUCAGAAGUACUAUAGAUGAUCAGCAUUCCUAUGAAUCUCCACAUCUUUCAAAGCUCUUAUGCUUCUUUUGCUCAUUAACAAUUACUCUUUCAAUCAUGGUUACUUCUUUAUCAUCUUAUUCUUUGAAACAACUUCUUGUUGUUGUUGUUAGCUUUCUCUUCGUCAUAACCAUUAAUAUGUCCGAUUUUAAAGGAUGUUUCACAUCAAUCUUCAGCUUUGGUGAUUCCUACACCGAUACUGGCAACGUAGUCCACAUUUCACUCUCCGAAUCCAGGGAGCUUCCCCGCAGUGCUUUUCCUCCACAUGGCAGGACCUUUUUUGGUCAUCCAACAGGGCGAAGCUCCGAUGGCCGGUUGGUUAUAGAUUUCCUUGGUACGUAUAUAUAUGUAUAACCAGGUGAAAUCAAAUAUUGACCAUAUGGUUUAACUUUUGGUUAUGUUUAUAUCAAAUAAUGGUUAUAUAUAUAUUGAAAUUUUGUUUUUGCAGCUAAGGAUUUGGGACUCCCCUUUAUAGCACCAUAUUUUGGAGGUGAAAAUGGAACAUCACAAAAUUUUCAAAAGGGUGUGAAUUUUGCUGUAUCGGGUGCUACAGCACUGGAUUCUGCGUUUCUUGCAGAAAGGAGAGUCUAUGGUCUCGUCUCAAACCUUUCUUUGGGAGAUGAAGUGGGCUUUUUCAAAGAUGUUUUGCCAUCUCUUUGCUCAUCUUCUUCAGGUAAGCUUUUGCCUUGUUUAGAUUUGUGUUUUCUAGAAAAGAAAACUGCAGGAAAUGUUAUUGUUGAUAUUUUUUCUUAAAAUUUUUUAUUAUGUGGGUAAUUUCAGUUUAAUAAAACAAAUUGAUAAUUUAGUCUGAGACAAAGCAUGAGAGCCUAAUUAAUAUUAUAUUGAUCUAUUGAUGAUGGGUUUUAUACAUCUUAUUGUAUCAAUGUGGUUUAACGGUUAUGUAGACUUUGACUUAGAAAAUUUCUAAUGAAGGCUUCUACUAGUGUUUAUUAUUUAUAUAAUUGGCUAAGUCCCUCUUCACUUCUAACAACGGUCUCUACCCAUUAACGAAAUCUAACCUCAAUCAGUAUUAAUGAAUCAAUGUACGCAAUUACAAUUAUAUAAUUCUUAGUGUUCUAAUUUUCACAUAUAGAUCUAGAGAUUAAAAACUUUAAUUUUUUUCUUCCCUCGUCAAAGAAACUAUGUAAGCCCUGUUUCAUUUUCAGUGAAGAAUGGGAAAAUAAAAAUAAAUUGGAGAUUGAAAGCAAAUUUAAUCUAAUUUCUCUUCAUACAUAGUUGGCUUUCUUGCUCGGUUUCCUAAACCCAAAAAUGGAUUGUUUCAUAGAUUGCAAAGAAUUCCUUCGGACUUCUUUGAGAGUCAUGGGAGUGAUCGGAGGAAAUGAUUACACUCACGCAUUUCAACAAGGCAAAAAGUACGACGAGGUUCGAGGGUGGGUUCCUCUUGUUGUUGGUAACAUGGCUUCGGCAAUCAAUGUAAGAAACUCUAUCCCAACUUGCUGGAAAUAUUCACAAACUCUGAAGCCAAAAUUUUUCAAGAAUUUGAAACAUCGAUGGAGACAACUAUUGACAAAUAUCACUAGGCAAUGCGAUGCAGGAGUAGAUGGGAGUAUGGGGCAGGGACAAUUUUGGUCCCUGGAAGCGUACUACGUGGAUAUAUGGGAUCGUAUCUAGCAUUAUUUCAGAGUUCAGACAAGGAAAAAUAUGACCCUUGAACUGGUUGUUUAACAUGGGCAAACGAGUUCGGAGAGUACCACAAUGAAUUGCUUCAGAAGGAACUUGAUCGAAUUCGGAAGCUUCACCCCAAUGUCCACAUUAUUUAUGCUGACUAUUACAAUACUGCAAUGCGUUUCUACACUUCCCCAAACAAAUUUGGUACUUUCAUAAAUAGCUGUCUUAUCAUUGUCCUUAACUCAAUGAUCAUCAAAAUUUGGCUUGUUUACCUGGAUUUUUUCUGGAUGAUUCCAGGAUUUACGGAAACUCUGAAGUCAUGCUGCGGAGUGGGAGGUUCAUAUGGUUUCAAUUUAUCUUAACGCUGUGGUGACCCACCUCUGAGAAUCUGCUGUGAUGACCCUUCUUCGCAUGUAAGCUGGGAUGGUGUACAUUAUACAGAAGCAGCCUACAGAUUGCUUUCCAAGGCUAUACUAGAACAACUAUUCACCAUUCCUAGUGUAAAUAACUUGUCUUCCAUUUACUUGUUAACAGACAAACUUAUCAGUAGCUGAGACAUGGGUGACUGUUUAUUUGACAUCUUUUUAUGUUCCUUUGUCAAUUUAUGGCAACGGAUUUAGAUUCAAAACAAAAUCUCACUUUAAAUUAGGUGAGAUGUUACUUUCUGUCUUUGAAUUUUCUUUUGUUCCUUUAGUGAAUAAAAUACAUGUGAGUUGGGGUGGACUUAAAGAAUUUUUUUGAAUGGUGUCAUUAUGAUCGUGCUCAAAAAUUUUUUUUUUUCUCGAUUCAUGAUUUGCUGAGAAAGUACUUAGAUUAAAUUCAACAUAACUUUGCUUAAAAGAAUAUUGUUGAGUGCCAUCAUUAGUGAAAUUUUGUUAUUGUUGCUCAAAAUUUGAAUCUUGUGAGACACUUUUUUUUCUUUUAAAAUAUCUUGCCAUAGCUUAUUUAUCUAAAAUUAUAAAAUUUGUUAAAAAUUACUAUUCAUUAGUAUUAAUUAAAAUAUUAAAAUUAAAUAAAAUAUGAUCUUCCAUAGCAAAUUAUCAAGUUGAGUAACUAACAAUAUAACAAUUUUCUAUUCAUUGAUCAAAAUUAAAUAUAAACAUCCACAAACUACAUAAAAUUAAGUACAAAAAUCAAAUAAUCAAAUAAUAUAUCUAUAAAAUAAAUAAAUAAAAAAGACUCAUAAUUUCAAGAUAUUAUUUGACAUGCAAUAUUAUUUUCUAUUAACUAUAUAAUAAUUAAGAACCCAAAUUAUCAAACUAAUCAAAAAAAAUAUUUAGACAUAAAGUAUUUAAAAACUUAAUUUGAAUUGAAAAGGGGCCUUUAUCACAUAUUUGCGUUCUAUUCAUAUUAAAAAAGAUAAAGAGGUUUUUGAUGUGAUGAAACUACCUAUUGAUGAAUAUUCAGCGUCACUUGGUUUACCAAUGACCCCUAAAGUUAGGUUCUUUAACCAAAAAAGGAAAAGCAAAAUGGAGUCAGAAAAAUCUUCUUUUCUUGAAUCAGAAAUCUUUAAUGAGGAAAAUGAGUCAGUUAUGCCAAAAGAAGAGCUACUUGUAGAAGAUGUCAAAGACAACAAAGUGGACAAAGAUUUUCUUCUGAAGGAUGGUACACAAGAUGUGGGAGAACAGAAUACUAGUGAGAUUGGAGAUACUAUGUAUGUCCCUCAUUCAUGUCUUACAUAAGGAGUAAUCAUAAUGAUGGUCUUGCAAUGAUGCCAAAUUAUUUGACUUAUGUAGUAGUCAGUUGAAUGGCUAAUUCUUUUGAUUUAAUUGAUGAUUUUACUGGUAGACUUUAGUUGGUUAGGUGGUAACAUGCAGAGAUCCUUGUCUGGUUUUCAUUUUGCAAGUAGUUUUUGAGUUACGUUUCUUUCUUUAGGUCGGCGACACGGGUUUUGAAGAAAAAAAGGCUGAAGAUCAGUGUUCAUAGGCCUUUGAGGACAAGGGUGGUCUUUGAUGAGGAAGGCAGCACGUAAACUCCAUUUGCCAUUUUGGGUGACAAGAAGAGUGGCAACAUUCUGCUCGACCAAGGUACACAUUAUCACUUCUGUUUACAGAAGGUUAUAGGCUUGUCAGUCUUGUGCUACUUUUCUACAGCUUUUAAUGUAUGAUCUGUUAAUUAAUUUGAUUUGCUUUUUUCUGCUUCUUAUGUAAUAAGGAGAAAAUAUUAUCUUAUGACUAAUUUAAUUCUUAAGUCAACUAGACUUUUGAAUAGUUUUAGACAGCAUCUUAUGUCAUUCAAAAUUUGGUGCUGCUUUUGACAUAAGGGGCUCUCUUCCAGAAAGAUAUACUCAAAUGGACUGUGUUUUCGAUGCUUUGACUGUGUUGAAUGCAUUGUUGCUUCUUGAUGUUCUUUCAUCUAAUGCUUUUCAUAUUGCAGACAAAAAUGAUGAGUUCUACAGGAAAAUGAGAGCAGAGUUGAAGUAUGUUGAAUGUUAGUGGUAUUUGAUCAGCAUCAAAGUAAAAUGGUUAGCAGCAAGUAAGGAUACACUGGUAACAGAAUGAAGGAAGAAGUAUCAGUAAUCAACAGAGCACUUCUUGCAGCUAUCGUUUAAUAUUUUGUUCAUUGUCAUUUUAGACUGUUACUCUUAUGUUCUUUAAUUGUUCUUUACUUUACUGUUUUACUUCAUUCACUAGUGUAGAGAGUCUGUUGUUAUUUCACAAAAUUGUCUCGUUUUGCUAUGUAUGUUGAAGGUUGUUACACAGAUUUUUGUGACAUUCCUUCUUGAUGUUAACAAUGCCAAGCGUCUAUAGCUGGUUAGCUACAGUUUUCGUUAUUCUCUCUUCUCUAACAAUGUAUAUAUAUCAGUUGGUUAUUAAUAAAAAGGUGCUGCUGUCAUUUGAGAGCCAUCUAUUUUUAUGUUCUCUAGAGUUCUUCUUUGUUUUUUGGAAAUCUAUUGAUAAUAUUCCUCUUCUUUGCUAAAAAUCAACAUAGUAUCAAAGCAUCUAUAAGGAUCUUAAGGGAUUGUUGGUGCUAUUUUUUUCUAUUUUAUCUACCUUGCUUUGUUGGUUGUUUUUUCAUCCGAUUGUGAUUGUUUCUCCACGGCCACAGCUGGGUUUAGCACAUCAGCUUCGCCAGUUUUUUCAGGGGAGAACUAUGCUUUCUGUUUAGUCAAAAUGAAAUCCUACUUGAAGGCCUUCAAUAUUUGGGACGCUGUGGAGACUGGGGUUGAGCCAGCGCUAAUAUAUGCAAAUCCAACCAUUGCUCAGAUGAAGCAACAUGAAGAGAACAUUGCUAAGAGGUACAAAGCUUUGUCUUGUUUGCAAUCUGCUCUGUCUUAUGAUAUUUUUGUUAGGAUAAUGCAUUUAGAGAAUCCUAAAGAAGUUUGGGAUCACUUGAAGGAUGAAUUUCAAGGUAGUGAACGUACCAAACAGAAUCAGGUAUUAAACUUAAAUAGACAAUUUGAGAUGUUGAGUAUGGAUGAUAAUGAGUCUGUUAGGGAGUUUUCAGGAAAAUUGAUGGGUAUUGUGAAUCAACUCAGAUUGUUGGGGAAAGCAAUACUUGAAGAUAGGCUAGUUAGUAAAAUGCUAGUUAGCUUACCUGAAAAGUAUGAAUCUAAAAUCUCUUCCUUAGAAGAUUCCAAAGAUUUAUCACAGCUCACCUUGAAAGAGUUGGUAAAUGCCUUGGAGGGAUUGGAACAAAAGAGAGCAUUUAGGCAAAAAAAGUUAGUUGACAGUGCUUUAGUUGCAAGAACAAAAACUUUGAAAUCGGGUGGCAGCAAUUCUAAAAGAAAUGUAGUUGAGAAGAAGGAGAAAAGGGAAGAAACCAGUGGAUGAUAAGUCUGGGAAACAGAAGACCAAACAUCUUCCUUGUACUCAUUGCAAAAAGACCACUCACACUGCUAAGUUUUGUUGGUAUAUGCCUAAUGUAGAGUGUAGGUCUUGUGGUCAGCAAGGACAUGUUGAAAGGGUAUGUAAAAACAAGAGUUCACAUCCUGAUGAAAAGGCUGCUGUUGCAGAGGAAGUGGAGAGUACAUAUUAGGUGUUGUUCAUGGUUCGAGAGGUCAGUAGUUCAGACAAAAAAAAAUUGUGGCUGAUAGAUAGUGCUUGUUCAAAUCAUUUGACUGGAGAUGAAAGUCAGUUUACCUCAUUGAAUAGGAGCUAUAAGGCUAAGGUGGAGAUUGGUUAUGGGUCAUUUCUUAGGAUACUUUGUAUAGGGACAGUAGCUGUCAAGACUCAAGCAGGUAGCAAAUACAUACAUGAUGUCUAUUUGGUUCCUAAAGCCACUCAAAAUUUACUUAGUGUUGGUCAGAUCACUAAGAAUCAUUAUUCAUUUUUAUUUAAGGGUCAAUACUGUACCAUUUUUUAUCCUAAAGGUGAGGAGGUGCUGACUGUUGAGAUGAAGAACGAGUGCUACCCUAUUGACUAGAAAAGGGUAACUAUCAAAGCUUUUAUCAACUAUGUUGAUGAUUCUGAAUUAUGGCACAAAAGAUUUGGACAUGUCAACUAUCAUUCUCUGCAAAGGAUGUACUCUCAGAAGUUGGUUGAUGGCUUACCUAAGGUUGAAAAAACUGAGUUACUAUGUGGGAUAUGUCAGAUAGGCAGCAAUGCAAGCUUCCAUUUCCAAAAGAAAGGAAGUGGAAAGCAUCCAAGAAACUGCAGCUCAUACAUACUGAUCUGGGAGGCCCUAUGAAAACUGUCUCCUUAUGUGGCAAUAAGUAUUAUUUGAUCUUUAUUGAUGAUCUAACCAAGUACUGUUGGACUUAUUUUCUUAAGUUCAAAUCUAAAGCUCUAUCUUACUUUGUUAAGUUCAAGAAUCUGGUUGAAAACCAAGCUAAUGUGAGCAUCAAGAUCUUCAAGAGUGAUAAUGGUAAGGAAUACACUACUGGGGAGUUUAAGAAGUUUCUUUGUAAGUUUGGCAUUACUCAUCAACUCACUGUUUGAUACAACCCUUAGCAAAAUGGGGUUGCUGAGAGAAAAACCAGAACAUUGAUGGAGAUGUCUAUAUGUUUGUUGUUUUAAAAGCAAUUAUCAAACCACUUUUGGUUAGAAGUUGUGAAUACAGCAAACUACCUACUGAAUGUAACUCAAACAAGGGCACUGGUUAAUAAAACACCAUUUGAAGCUUGGUUUGGUUACAAACCUUCAGUUGCUCACUUAAGGGUAUUUGGAAGCAUCUGCUAUGCAAAGAUCCCGGAUCAAAGCAGGACUAAGUUGGAUGAGAAAAGUAUCUUGGCUAUUCACAUUGGUUACAAUGAAGUUUCCAAAGGAUACAAAUUGUAUAAUGUGAAAACUCAAAAGUUCUUUGUCAGUAGGGAUGUCAAAUUUGAUGAACAUUCUUAUUGGAACUGAGAGAAGUCAACUGUUGAUUCUUUGAGUAAUCAGAAUCUUGUGCAAUACUAGUCAGUGAGAGAAGAUGAUGAAGAAGUGGAUAUUGAAGAUGAAAACCUUGCUGUGAGAGGUACUAAGUCACUGCAAGAUAUCUAUGCCCGGUGUAAUAUGGCAGUGUAUGAACCUACUAGUUAUGCAGAAGCAGCAACUGACAGAAGGUGGGUGCAGGCAAUGGAACAAGAGAUGUUGAUGAUUGAGAAAAAUGGUACUUGGUUGUUGGUGGACAAACCAACAGAUCAGCAUGUAAUUGGAACCAAAUGGAUUUUCAAGACAAAGCUUAAUACUGAUGGAUCAGCGAACAAGUACAAAGCAAGAUUGGUAAUAAAAGGGUAUUCUUAGAUUUAUGGUGUGGACUACAGGGAGACUUUUGAUCUAGUCGUGAGACAUGACACAAUAAGGUUGUUGGCUGCAUUAGCAGCUCAAGAAGGGUAGAACAUCUGGCAUCUUAAUGUGAAAUCUUCUUUUUUGAAUGGCUAUCUUGCAGAAGACAUCUAUAUUCAUCAACUACAAGGAUUCAUCAAACCAGGGACUGAGGAUAAAGUCUGCAAGCUGGUGAAAGCGUUGUAUGGCUUAAACCAAGCUCCAAGGGCCUGGUAUGAUAGAAUUAACUCAUUUCUCAUUGCUGAAGGUUUUCAAAAGAGUCAAAUGAGCCAACACUAUAUGUGAGCAGCACUAAAGCUUCAGUCAAGGUAAUUUUUUCUCUAUAUGUUGAUAAUUUAUUACUUACUGGUUCGAAUUUUAGUUCCUUAAGUGAUUUUAAGAAUAAGCUGAUGAAAGAAUUUGAAAUGACUGACUUAGGAAAGAUGCACUAUUUUCUGGGAUUACAAUUCAUUCAAAGGUCAGAUUACAUUUGUAUACAUCAAAGUAAAUAUGCAAAUGAAAUUCUGAAGAAGUUUCACAUGGAGAAGUGUAAAGCUGUGGAUACCCUUUUAGCUUCAAACUGCAGAUUAACCAAGGAUGAUGGUACCCCAAGUGCAAAAAGUUUAGUAUAUAAGAGCAUCAUUGGAAGUCUACUCUAUUUAACUGCUUCAAGACCAGAUAUUAUGUUCUCUGCUAGUUUGUUGUCUCGAUUUAUGUGAAGUCCCUCACAAACUCACUUUGCAGCAACUAAGAAAAUGCUGAGGUAUAUUAAAGGAACAGUAGAGUUAGGCUUGAAAUUUGAGAAGAAGAAAAGCUCUGUUCUUAUGGGAUAUUGUGAGAGUGAUUGGGUAGGAAGUCUUGAUGACUCUAAAAGCACUUCAGGUUAUUGUUUCUCACUUGGCAGUGCAGUUUUUAGUUGGAAUUCUAGAAAGCAAGAGGUGGUGGCUCAAUCCUCUGCAGAAGCAGAGUAUGUUGUUAUUGCUGCUGCUUCAAAUCAUGUGAUUUGGCUAAGACAGGUCUUUCAUGAUCUAAGGUAUAUCAAUGAGAAGGGUACACUGCUAUACAUUGAUAACAAAUAUGCUAUUUCAAUUGCAAAAAAUCCUAUGCAGUAUGGUAGGACAAAACACAUCAAAGUGAAGUUUCAUGCAAUCCGAGAGGCUGUGAAGGAUGAAGAAGUUGAUAUUCAUCACUGUGGCACUAAACUGCAGUUAGCUGAUAUUUUUACUAAGAGUUUAAGUAAGGAUCAAUUUAUGUUUUUGAGAUUUGAAAUGGGGUUGUGCAACUCAAACACCAAGGAGGUGUGUUGAAUGUUAGUGGUAUUUGACUAGCAUCAAAGUAAAAUGGUUAGCAGCAAGUAAGGAUGCACUGAUAACAAAAUGAAGGAAGAAGUAUCAGCAGUCAACAGAGCACUUCUUGCGGCUAUCGUUUAAUACUUUGUUCAUUGUCGUUUUAGACUAUUACUCUUAUGUUCUUUUACUGUUCUUUACUUUACUAUUUGAAUUCAUUCAUUAGUGUAGAGUGUCAGUUGUUAUUUCACAACACUGUGUCGUUUUGCUAUGAAUGCUGAAAGUUGUUUCACAGAUUUCUGUGACAUUCUUUUUUGAUGUUAGCAAUGCUAGGCAUCUAUAGCUAGUUAGCUAUAGUUUUCGUUAUUCCUUCUCCUCUAACAAUGUAUAUAAAUUAGUUGGUUAUUAAUGAAAAUGUGCUGUUGUCAUUUGAGAGCCAUCCAUUUUUAUGUUCUCUAGAGUUCUUCUCUGUUUUCUGGAAAUCUGUUGAUAAUAUUCCUCUUUUUUGCUAAAAAUCAACAAAGCAAGUGGACAAGGAAGACAAGUUUUUGGAGCACCAAUGGCUUAGGAAGAAAUUACUCAAGCAGAAGAUGAAGUGUAAGAAAUGGAGAGAGGAGGAAAAGGAUAAUGAAAAGGAUAAGGAUGAUCUUUCCAAUUCAGAAGGAGAGUCAGAUGCGAACAAAAAACAUAAGAGGUUUAAAGUAUACUUUCAUAGUAAUAGUGAUGAUGAUUAAACAAAAGAAAAUAAGGUUGAUGCAAGUUUCAAUGCUAAUUUCGUAUCUCUGGCAAAACAAGAAGAACUUGCUCUUAAGUUGUUAAACUUAAUGCACUCGUAAAUUAUAUGAAGUACAUGAUCCUCCUAUUGACCGUACAUUAGUUCAUUGCCAACAGAAAUAGCUGUGUUGAAGAUUAAUACUUAAUCUGUGAAGUUAGCUGACUAAAGCAUGAAGUUAGCUAACUAAAGUGUGAAGUUAGCUGACUACAGUUAUUGGCAGGAAGCAACAAAUUGAAAGUUGAGGAAAUUUGUUCAAGGAAUGAAACGCUGCCCUUAGGGAUUUAAAAAGCUUAAUGAUACGAUGGUUUCUUGUGUCGUUUAACUUGGUUUAAUUAUUCAGUUGCUAAACGCAGUAUUUUGAUGUCGUUUUGCUUGGUUGUCAUUUUCUGUUGUCAAUGCUCAACAGUCAUGCUUAUUCUUCUUGUUUUCUGUUAGAGCUGUGCUUCGAUUGGUGUGAAGUUUUUCCUUUUGAUUCGAUUUAUGAGGAAAGUUUAUAAUUGCUUAGUAUAAAUACAAAUUUGAAAAUUGGAUUGAUGUGCUUUUUGGAUCCAAUAUUUUGAGCUGAAUUUCUUUCUCUGUUUUUCUGCUCAACAAAGCUCUUUGAACUUUUUCAAGUAAAAUUUUCCAGAAAUUCUUUAAUUAUCUGUUUGGCUGUUUUCUUCAAUUGGUAUCAAAGCUUUAAGUGAUCUUGAGGGGCCUAGGUUGUGAUACAAUGACUUUCGGAUUCAAUUCAUCAACCCACCAAAGUUCAUCGGAGAGAACUAUUCUUUCUAAAGUGUAAAGAUUGAGCCAUAUCUCAGAGCCUUCACGUUGUGAGAAGCGUGGAGACAGAUGAGGAGCCAGUGCAAAAAAGAGCUAAUUCAACUAUAGCUCAGAUCAGCAAUUUGAGGAAGACAAAGCAAAAAGGUACAAAGCUCUGUCUUACCUUCACUCAGCUUUAUCUGAUGAGAUUUUUUAUCAGGUUAUGCAUUUGAGAUCUCUUAAGCAAAUUUGGGACUAUCUGAGGGAUGAAUUUUUUAAAAGUGAACGAACUAGGCAAAUUCAGGCUUUCAACUUAACUCAAAAGUUUGAAACGCUUAGAAUGAAGGACAGUGAAAACAUUAGAGAUUUUACUAGUAAAAUGAUAAGACUAGUAAAUCAAUUAAGAUUACUUGGAAGGGAAAUUACUGAAGAACGUUUAGUGACUAAGAUGUUGGUGAGUUUACCUGAGAAGUAUGAAUCAAAGGUGUCAUCAUUAGAAGAAGCUAGAUAUUUGACUCAGAUUACUCUAAAAGAAUUAGUUAAUGCUUUGGAGGGACUUGAGCAGAGAAAAGCUAUUAGGCAAAAGAGUGCAGCUGAUUUUGCCUUGAUUGCUAAGUCCAAAACUCAAAAAGAUGAUGAUAGAAAGUUAAAGAGUGAUACUGCUGAGAAGAAAAACGGGAGAAAGAAGACUGGAGAGAAAAGACAAUGAGAGAAAAAGAAAGAGUUCUCACCACUUCAGUAUUGCAAGAACACUAAUCACAGUGAGAAGUUUUGUUGGUACAGACCAAAUGUGGUAUGUAGAGCUUGUAAUCAAAAAGGGCAUGUGGAGAAAGUAUGCAAGACUCGUGCCAAAAGAAAAGAAAAGGUUGAUGUAGCUGAGCAAAUAGAAGAUGAAACUGAAGAGGUUUUGUUUAUGGCAACAAGUGAAGAAGGUCUGAGCAAAAAUACUGUAUGGUUGUUAGACAGUGCCUAUUCACAUCAUUUAACUGGGAAUAAGUCUCUUUUCUCCACUCUUAAUAUAAGUUUUAAGUCAAAAGUGAAGAUUGGAGAUGGUAACUACCUGGAUAUACUUGGCAUUGGCAUUGUUAAAGUUGAAACUGCCUCAGGAGAUAAGUGCAUCAGUAAUGUGCAUUAUGUAUCAAGUGCCAACCACAAUUUGUUAAGUGUGGGACAAUUGGCCAAAGACCAUUACACUUUGCUUUUUAAUGGUAAAGUUUGCACAUUGAUUGAUCCGAAUGGUGAUGAAUUGUACACUGUUGCAAUGAGGAACAAUUGUUAUCCUCUUAAUUUAGCUAAAAAUACUUCACAUUUGGCUUUGUAUAGUGAGCUAGAUAUAUCAGAAAAGUGGCACAGGAGAUUUGGACAUGUCAAUUACAGCUAAUUGUCUCUAAUGUCAGCAAAGAGUCUAGUGAAAGGCUUGCUUGGGAUUGUAAAACCAUCUAAGCUUUGUAAAGCUUGUCAACUUAAAAAGCAGACUAGGAAACCAUUUCCUAAGCAAAGUGGAUGGAAGGCUUCCAGAAAGCUUGAGCUGGUGCAUACUGACAUCUCUGGUCCCAUAAAAACUGCUUCACUCAGUGGAAGCAGAUACUGGGCGAUGCUCCGAUGGCCGUCUGGUCAUAGAUUACGUUGGUAUGUGUAUAGGCAGUUGAGUGAUUACAUGCUUUGAUAUUGGUCAUGGUUAUGCUAUAGUUUCUCCAUGGUUUUUGCAGCUCAAGGUUUGGGACUCCCGUUUUUACCACCUUAUUUUGGAGGUCAAAAUGGAAGACCAAAAAACUUUCAGAAGGGUGUGAAUUUUGCUGUGGUAGGUGCUACAGCACUUGAUGAUGCGUUUUUCAAAGAAAGAGGAAUCAAGAACCCUUUUACAAACGUUUCUUUGGGAGUUGAAUUGGGACUUUUCAAAGAAGUUUUGCCAUCUCUUUGCUCUUCUUCUUCAGGUAAGUUCUUGUAUCCUUUCAGAUUCUGUUUGAUAAGAAGGAAAAGGGCCCGGUAGGUUAAAAUAUCUUCCACAGUUUACUAGUAUGAAAAGGAAAUUAAGUAACAAACUAAUCAGUCAAUUAUCUCUUUUCAUUUUCCUACCCGUUUUCCAAACGGUGAAGAAGCUAUGUCCUAUUUCAUUUCAGUGAAGAAGGAUGGGAAAAUGAACUGGAAAUUGAAUUACACAGUUAGUCUAUCAAUGAACCUUAAUUUCUUGAUCUUGCUUGGUUUCCUGCUGCUAAAACGCUAUGACUCACAGAUUGCAAAGAGCUCCUCCGGGAGUCUUUGAUUGUUAUGGGAGAGAUUGGAGGAAAUGAUUACAACUAUGCAUUCGAGGAAGGAAAAAACCCUGAAGAGAUUUGAGAGUUUGUUCCUGUUGUAGUUCAUACCAUAUCUUCGGCAAUCAAUGUAAGAAAAUCAGAGUGCCAGCAGCAUGCUAAAAUAUUCACAAGUUUUGAAGGCAAAAUUUCCCAAAAACUUGAAAAUUUAAUGCUGGUUUUGUUUCAAUUCCAUUACUUCUAUAUACUUGUUUCUUUGGUUCAGUGAAUCUGACAUGUUAACAAAGUUUACUUGGCAAUGGUGCAGGAGUUAAUCGAGUUAGGGGCAGUCACAUUUUUGGUCCCUGGAAACCUUCCAAUCGGAUGCUCACCAGCAUAUCUAACAUAUUUUCAGGGUUCAGAUAAAGGUUCAGAUAAAGGAGAAUAUGAUCCCUUAACCUGUUGUUUAACAUGGCUGAACCAGUUCUCUGAGUACCACAAUGAAUUGCCUCAGCAAGAACUUGAUCAAAUCCGCGAGCUUCAUCCCCAUGUCAACAUCAUUUAUGCAGACUAUUACAACAUUGCAAUGCGUUUCUACCAUUUCCCAGACCAAUUUGGUACUUCCAUAGUUUCAACUGUCUUACAAAAUAUUUCAAGCUUAUCGUAUCCAAACUAAUGUUAUAGAGGGAUAUUAAUUAAUUCUCAUCAUGGUCAUCAAAUGUUGGCUUGUUUACAUGAACUUUUUCCUCUUUCUGCAUGAUUCCAGGGUUUACAAAAACAAUAGUAGCAUGUUGUGGAAGGGGAGUUCCCUACAAUUACAGCUCAUCCAUGGCUUGUGGUGAUCCACCAUUGAGAAGCAGCUGCGAUGACCCUUCUUCAUAUGUUAGCUGGGAUGGUGUGCAUUUCACUGAAGCAACCUACAGAUGGAUCUCCAAGGCUGUGUUAAAAGAACUAUUCACCAUUCCUUACAGAAACAGCUUAUGUCUUCCAUUGACAGUGAACAACAAAUUCAUUAGUAGCUGAGAUACUAAGGUGUUGAUUAUUUAUUUUCUCCGAAUAUUAGAGUAUCAGAUGUCAAUUUAAAUGAAAAAAAAAAGAAGAAUUCAUUGGAAUUAAUUUGAUAUAUAUAUGAGUUACUAAAAUCUUUGUUUCUGGUUUUUGGUUGAUGAUAAUCGGCCUCUCUGGCAGUGAUCAACAUCACUUUUGAUGAAUCCAACUUACUUUGAUUUGGAAUGCUUAUUAAAUUCAUCAAAUCAAGUUAUCUUUCCUUUCAUCUUAUAUAUUUUCCUCAUUCAGCUCUUUGAACUAGGAAAAGAACUGUCGAUCCAUUUUGCAAUAGAUAUUCAUCAUGCCUGCAAGUAGGCAGUAGUAAAAACACAAUAUCAUGCUCUUUAAUGAGAGCAUUUCAUUUUCUCCUCUCAUGUUGUUGAUUCAUUUCAUUGCAGAGAGAUUAUGCAUUUGUCAUUAAAUCAAAUGUUCGGACGGUAUAAGUUUUUUAUAUGAAAAAAAUAGUUAAAUAUUACUUAAAUUUGAAAGCAAUCAGCCUUCAAAAGAAAAUAUCAAAUGCAAUUAACAGGGCAUUGCCAUGGGGGACCAAGUUCUGCAUAGGCUUUUAAUUAGUUCUUCAUGGAGGCAACAACUCCAAGAAAUACACGUGGGGUUUUGUUUGGUACAUAAUACACAAACAAACUCGUGGCAUUGUGAUUGUAACAAAUACCUACCAGUCCAUAGGCAUAGUGUAGGGGUAACACAAUACCAAAAUUCUUCUGCAACUUUUUCUUCUUACAUUCAUGGCUAAUCCUUUUUCGUCUUCUUCAUCAUGUUCCUUGUUGAACUUGAAACAGCAUUUCAUUGUUAGCUUUCUCUUUGUCACCUUUACCAUAAUUACACAUGUGAAUGGAUGUUUCACGUCAAUCUUCAGCUUUGGUGAUUCCUUUGCUGACACCGGAAACUUUCUUCAAAUUUCACUUUCAGAACACAGCGAGCUUCCUCAAAGUGCUUUCCCUCCAUACGGACGGACCUUUUUUCAUCAUCCAACAGGGCGAUUCUCUGAUGGCCGGCUGGUUAUAGAUUUCAUUGGUGGGUGAGCAUGCUUUGGUUAUGCUAAGAUUAUUAUGGUUUUCAUUUAUUUUCAUGGUUUUGCAGCUGAGGAUUUUAGAUUACCGUUUUUACCACCGUAUUUUGGAGGUGAAAAUGGAAGAUCAAAUAACUUUCAGAAGGGUGUGAAUUUGGCUGUGGCGGGUGCUACUGCACUUGAUGAUGAGAUUCUCAAAGAAAGAGGAAUCACUAAUCCCGCCACAAACGUUACUUUGGGAGUCGAAUUGGGGUUUUUCAGAGAUGUUUUGUCAUCUCUCUGCUCAUCUUCUUCAGGUGAAUUGUCAUAUCCUUUACAUAUGGUGUUUGGUAGAAAGGAAAAGAAAGAAUAGAAGUAUUUUUAUGAAGGACAAACUGUUCCACUUACUCUAAUAUGAACCAAUUCUUUGAUUGUUAUGGGAGAGAUUGACAGAUUGCAGAAAGCUCCUUAGCAACUCUUUGAUUGUUAUGGGAGAGAUCGGGGGAAAUGAUUACAAUUUCGCAUUCGAGGAAGGGAAAAGCAAUGAGGAGACUCGAGAGCUUGUUCCUCUAGUUAUUGAUACCAUAGCUUCAGCAAUCCAUGUAAGAAAACUGCCUGCCAGCGUGUUAAAAAUCUUGAUAAAUUUGCUGAUAUCGUUAACAUAUUUUAGUAGGCAAGGCAAUGCAGGAGUUGAUUGAGUUAGGGGCAGUCACAUUUUUGGUCCCUGGAAACCUACCAAUUGGAUGCUUCCCAUCAUGUCUGACAAACUUUGAGGGUUCAGAUGAGGAAGAAUAUGAUCCCUUAACCGGUUGUCUAACAUGGCUGAACCACUUCUCUGAGUACCACAAUCAAUUGCUUCAAGAAGAACUUGCUAGAAUCCAGGAGAUUCAUCCCCAUGUCAACAUUGUUUAUGCAGAUUAUUACAGUGCUGCAAUUCGUUUCUACCUUUCUCCAA